UAAAGGGUCCGUAGCCGGUUUAAUCAGUCUUCUGGGAAAUCUAAUCGCUUAACUAUUAGGCUUCCAGGGGAUACUGUUAGACUUGGGACCGGGAGAGGUAAGAGGUACUGCAGGGGUAGGAGUGAAAUCUUGUAAUCCCUGUGAGACCACCAGUGGCGAAGGCGUCUUACCAGAACGGGUCCGACGGUGAGGGACGAAAGCUGGGGGCACGAACCGGAUUAGAUACCCGGGUAGUCCCAGCUGUAAACGAUGCUCGUUAGGUGUCAGGAACGGUGCGACUGUUUCUGGUGCCGAAGGGAAGCCGUGAAACGAGCCACCUGGGAAGUACGGCCGCAAGGCUGAAACUUAAAGGAAUUGGCGGGGGAGCACUACAACGGGUGGAGCCUGCGGUUUAAUUGGACUCAACGCCGGAAAACUCACCGGGGGCGACAGCAAUAUGUAGGUCAGGUUAAAGGUCUUACCUGAAUCGCUGAGAGGAGGUGCAUGGCCGUCGUCAGUUCGUACUGUGAAGCAUCCUGUUAAGUCAGGCAACGAGCAAGACCCGUGCCCACUGUUACCAGCAUAUCCUUUAUGGAUGAUGGGGACUCUGUGGGGACCGCUGCUGCUAAAGCAGAGGAAGGUGCGGGCUACGGUAGGUCAGUAUGCCCCGAAUCUCCCGGGCUACACGCGGGCUACAAUGGUUGGGACAAUGGGUAUCUACUCCGAAAGGAGUUGGCAAUCUCUUAAACCCAAUCGUAGUUCGAAUUGAGGGCUGUAACUCGCCCUCAUGAAGCUGGAAUCCGUAGUAAUCGCGUUUCAACAUAGCGCGG
Molecule: ribosomal RNA, 809 nt
Filed under: uncultured archaeon
Lineage: Archaea
Description: bacterial SSU rRNA
Rfam family: Archaeal small subunit ribosomal RNA
Source: RNAcentral